GACGAACGCUGGCGGCGUGCCUAAUACAUGCAAGUCGAACGCAGUUGCGAACGGGUGCGUAACGCGUAGGUAACUGCCUCAAAGCAGGGGAUAACUAUUGGAAACGAUAGCUAAUACCGCAUCCUUUGAGAUGGACCUGCGUGGUAUUAGCUAGUUGGUGAGGUAAAGGGUAACCAAGGCGACGAUACAUAGCCGGCCGGAGAGGGUGAACGGCCCCACUGGGACUGAGACCCGGCCCCGGCUCCUACGGGAGGCAGCAGUUGGGAAUCUUAGGCAAUGGAAGGAAGGCUGACCGAGGAACGCCGAGGUAGUGAAGAAGGUUUUUGGAUCCUAAAGACCUGGUGUUUGAGAAGCGGUAACUAACCAGAAAGGGACGGCUAACUACGUGCCAGCAGCCGCGGUAAUUC
This 407-nucleotide ribosomal RNA is filed under the name uncultured bacterium. RNAcentral describes it as "partial 16S ribosomal RNA". It matches the Rfam family "Bacterial small subunit ribosomal RNA", at positions 28 to 526 of the family's 1533-position model. The record is from RNAcentral.